Molecule: long non-coding RNA, 238 nt
Filed under: Brassica napus (rape)
Lineage: Eukaryota; Viridiplantae; Streptophyta; Magnoliopsida; Brassicales; Brassicaceae
Description: long non-coding RNA (BNAP_LNC009728)
Source: RNAcentral
UAUUAGUCGAUAAAGGUGGAAUGGUGAAUCUAGUGUUAAUUACUGCAAGAGUUGCAUGUGCCAUAAUGGAAAUGAAACAUGGUAACUAUGUAUUGUUGUUGGUAUGCCAAGGACAUGAUCUGAUAAACAUAUGUUGCGUGCAAAUGUAUUUGGAUGAUAAGAAAAGUAGUUAAGGUAUCUACCAUUGAUUGAUACUGUUUACAAUAAUAGCUACCACUCGAGUAUUAGAGAAUGUUGG